RNAcentral lists this ribosomal RNA (492 nucleotides) under uncultured bacterium. RNAcentral's name for it is "partial 16S ribosomal RNA". It matches the Rfam family "Bacterial small subunit ribosomal RNA", at positions 29 to 507 of the family's 1533-position model. The record is from RNAcentral.
AGUGAACGCUGGCGGUAGGCCUAACACAUGCAAGUCGAACGGCAGCACAGUAAGCGCUUGCUCUUACGGGUGGCGAGUGGCGGACGGGUGAGGAAUACAUCGGAAUCUACUUUUUCGUGGGGGAUAACGUAGGAAAACUUACGCUAAUACCGCAUACGACCUACGGGUGAAAGCAGGGGAUCUUCGCACCUUGCGCGAGUGAAUGAGCCGAUGUCGGAUUAGCUAGUUGGCGGGGUAAAGGCCCACCAAGGCGACGAUCCGUAGCUGGUCUGAGAGGAUGAUCAGCCACACUGGAACUGAGGCACGGUCCAGACUCCUACGGGAGGCAGCAGUGGGGAAUAUUGGACAAUGGGCGCAAGCCUGAUCCAGCCAUACCGCGUGGGUGAAGAAGGCCUUCGGGUUGUAAAGCCCUUUUGUUGGGAAAGAAAAGCAGCAGGUUAAUACCCCGCUGUUCUGACGGUACCCAAAGAAUAAGCACCGGCUAACUUCGUG